RNAcentral lists this ribosomal RNA (374 nucleotides) under uncultured bacterium. RNAcentral describes it as "partial 16S ribosomal RNA". It matches the Rfam family "Bacterial small subunit ribosomal RNA", at positions 338 to 710 of the family's 1533-position model. The record is from RNAcentral.
CCUACGGGGUGCAGCAGUGAGGAAUAUUGGUCAAUGGCCGGAAGCCUGAACCAGCCAAGUCGCGUGAGGGACGACUGCCCUAUGGGUUGUAAACCUCUUUUAUAAGGGAAGAAUAAAUGCUACGUGUACCAUUUUGCCUUUACCUUAUGAAUAAGCAUCGGCUAACUCCGUGCCAGCAGCCGCGGUAAUACGGAGGAUGCGAGCGUUAUCCGGAUUUAUUGGGGUAAAAGGGUGGGUAGGCGGGGUUUUAAGUUAGCGGUAAAACGUGGGGGCUACACCUUGAUUUGCCCUGGAUACUGUAAGGCUCGAGUACAGAAGAGGUAGGCGGAAUGAGUGAAGUAGCGGUGAAAUGCUUAGAUAUAACGUAGAACCCC